UACGGAGGGUGCAAGCGUUAUCCGGAUUUACUGGGUUUAAAGGGUGCGUAGGUGGGUUGGUAAGUCAGUGGUGAAGUCCCCGAGCUUAACUUGGGAACUGCCAUUGAUACUAUCAGUCUUGAAUAUUGUGGAGGUCAGCGGAAUAUGUCAUGUAGCGGUGAAAUGCUUAGAUAUGACAUAGAACACCAAUUGCGAAGGCAGCUGGCUACACGAAUAUUGACACUGAGGCACGAAAGCGUGGGGAUCAAACAGG
This 253-nucleotide ribosomal RNA is filed under the name uncultured bacterium. RNAcentral describes it as "partial 16S ribosomal RNA". It matches the Rfam family "Bacterial small subunit ribosomal RNA", at positions 524 to 776 of the family's 1533-position model. The record is from RNAcentral.